Molecule: ribosomal RNA, 253 nt
Filed under: uncultured bacterium
Lineage: Bacteria
Description: partial 16S ribosomal RNA
Rfam family: Bacterial small subunit ribosomal RNA
Source: RNAcentral
UACAGAGGCCUCGAGCGUUAGGCGGAAUCACUGGGCGUAAAGGGUGCGUAGGCGGGUCUUUAAGUCAGGGGUGAAAUCCUGGAGCUCAACUCCAGAACUGCCUUUGAUACUGAGGAUCUUGAGUUCGGGAGAGGUGAGUGGAACUGCGAGUGUAGAGGUGAAAUUCGUAGAUAUUCGCAAGAACACCAGUGGCGAAGGCGGCUCACUGGCCCGAUACUGACGCUGAGGCACGAAAGCGUGGGGAGCAAACAGG